This 85-nucleotide transfer RNA is filed under the name Felis catus (domestic cat). It matches the Rfam family "tRNA". From Rfam's summary of the family: Transfer RNA (tRNA) molecules are approximately 80 nucleotides in length. Their secondary structure includes four short double-helical elements and three loops (D, anti-codon, and T loops). Lineage: Eukaryota; Metazoa; Chordata; Mammalia; Carnivora; Felidae. The record is from Rfam by way of RNAcentral.
GCCUGGGUGGCUCAGUCAGUUGAGCACCUGACUUUGGCUCAGGUCAUUAUCUCCCAGUUCGUGGGUUCAAGCCCCGCGUUGGGCU